UGGGGAAUAUUGGACAAUGGGCGGAAGCCUGAUCCAGCAACGCCGCGUGAGGGAUGACGGCCUUCGGGUUGUAAACCUCUUUCAGCACAGACGAAGCGCAAGUGACGGUAUGUGCAGAAGAAGGACCGGCCAACUACGUGCCAGCAGCCGCGGUAAUACGUAGGGUCCGAGCGUUGUCCGGAAUUAUUGGGCGUAAAGGGCUCGUAGGCGGUUUGUCGCGUCGGGAGUGAAAACACCGGGCUUAACUCGGUGCUUGCUUUCGAUACGGGCAGACUAGAGGCAUUCAGGGGGAGAACGGAAUUCCUGGUGUAGCGGUGAAAUGCGCAGAUAUCAGGAGGAACACCGGUGGCGAAGGCGGUUCUCUGGGAAUGUCCUGACGCUGAGGAGCGAAAGUGUGGGGAGCGAACAGGAUUAGAUACCCUGGUAGUCCACACCGUAAACGUUGGGCGCCAGGUGUGGGAUCCAUUCCACGGGUUCCGUGCCGCAGCUAACGCAUUAAGCGCCCCGCCUGGGGAGUACGGCCGCAAGGCUAAAAUCUUAAAUGAAUUGACGGGGUCAUAGCUGUUUCC
RNAcentral lists this ribosomal RNA (569 nucleotides) under uncultured bacterium. RNAcentral describes it as "partial 16S ribosomal RNA". It matches the Rfam family "Bacterial small subunit ribosomal RNA", at positions 355 to 937 of the family's 1533-position model. The record is from RNAcentral.